AAAUUUGAAAUCUGGCGCAAGCCCGAGUUGUAAUUUGUAGAGGAUGCUUCUGGCCAGCGGCCGUUCUAAGUUCCUUGGAACAGGACGUCAUAGAGGGUGAGAAUCCCGUAUGUGACCGGCGCGCAGCCUUUACGUAGCUCCUUCGACGAGUCGAGUUGUUUGGGAAUGCAGCUCUAAAUGGGAGGUAAAUUUCUUCUAAAGCUAAAUACCGGCCAGAGACCGAUAGCGCACAAGUAGAGUGAUCGAAAGAUGAAAAGCACUUUGGAAAGAGAGUUAAAAAGCACGUGAAAUUGUUGAAAGGGAAGCGCUUGCAACCAGACUUCGUAGCGGUGUUCCGCCGGUCUUCUGACCGGUCUACUCAUCGUCGCGAGGCCAACAUCGUCUGGGACCGCUGGAUAAGACCUAAGGAAUGUAGCUUCCCUCGGGAAGUGUUAUAGCCUGUGGUGAUGCAGCGCGUCUCGGGCGAGGUCCGCGCUUCGGCAAGGAUGUUGGCGUAAUGGUUGUCAGCGGCCCGUCUUGAAACACGGACCAAGGAGUCUAACAUCUAUGCGAGUGUUCGGGUGUCAAACCCCUACGCGUAAUGAAAGUGAACGGAGGUGGGAAGCGCAAGCUGCACCAUCGACCGAUCCUGAUGUCCUCGGAUGGAUUUGAGUAAGAGCAUAGCUGUUGGGACCCGAAAGAUGGUGAACUAUGCCUGAAUAGGGUGAAGCCAGAGGAAACUCUGGU
This 726-nucleotide ribosomal RNA is filed under the name Pruniphilomyces circumscissus. RNAcentral describes it as "partial large subunit ribosomal RNA". It matches the Rfam family "Eukaryotic large subunit ribosomal RNA", at positions 111 to 868 of the family's 3401-position model. Lineage: Eukaryota; Fungi; Ascomycota; Dothideomycetes; Mycosphaerellales; Mycosphaerellaceae. The record is from RNAcentral.